Molecule: ribosomal RNA, 628 nt
Filed under: Cladophialophora carrionii
Lineage: Eukaryota; Fungi; Ascomycota; Eurotiomycetes; Chaetothyriales; Herpotrichiellaceae
Description: LSU rRNA
Rfam family: Eukaryotic large subunit ribosomal RNA
Source: RNAcentral
UUUUGCAUAAAUCCCACAAACGGAGGAAAAGAAACCAACAGGGAUUGCCUCAGUAACGGCGAGUGAAGCGGCAACAGCUCAAAUUUGAAAUCUGGCCUCCCGGGGUCCGAGUUGUAAUUUGUAGAGGAUGUUUUGGGUACCGCCCCGGUUUAAAUUUCUUGGAACAGAAUGUCAGAGAGGGUGAGAAUCCCGUCUUGGACCGGUGGUAGGGCCUGUGUAAAACUCCUUCGACGAGUCGAGUUGUUUGGGAAUGCAGCUCAAAAUGGGUGGUAAAUUUCAUCUAAAGCUAAAUAUUGGCCAGAGACCGAUAGCGCACAAGUAGAGUGAUCGAAAGAUGAAAAGAACUUUGAAAAGAGAGUUAAACAGUAUGUGAAAUUGUUGAAAGGGAAGCGCUUGCAACCAGACUUGAGCGCGACGGUUCCCCUAGCCUUUUGGCUAGGUUACUCCGUCGUGUCCAGGCCAACAUCGGUUCUGAGGGUCGGUCAAAGGCUCUGGGAAUGUAUCUACCCACGGGUAGACUUAUAGACCAGGGUGUCAUGCGACCUCUCGGGACCGAGGAACGCGCUUCGGCUCGGAUGUUGGCGUAAUGGUUGUCAGCGACCCGUCUUGCACACACGGAACACAAAUC